GCUAAGCACUUACAACUGUUUGCAGAGGAAACUGAGACCUUGUAGCUAUGUCUCAGUCUCAUCUACAAAGAAGUAAGUGCUUUGC
Molecule: microRNA precursor, 85 nt
Organism: Cricetulus griseus (Chinese hamster)
Lineage: Eukaryota; Metazoa; Chordata; Mammalia; Rodentia; Cricetidae
Source: Ensembl